CCGCUUGCAGGGAAACAGAUGGACCCACGAAGUCCAGUUGGUAGUGAAAUUCAUUUUGUCGAUAAAGUUGUUUUUGGAUAAGUGUUUGCUUGCAUUCACUUACCAUUAACUUGCUUUAUUGUCAAUGCACUUUUCACUACCACGACGGAGCUCUGACUCUUAAUCGACUUGAUUGUUUAGUGCAACCUUUCGUUGUGGUUGAAUAACUUUCGGGUUUUUCAUUCACCUCAAGAGAGAAUAAUCAAGUCAUGGUUAAGAGGUGAAUUUCUUACAAUUGUAAGUUUUCAGGUCGUCAGUUGAUCAUGUGUAUAGAGUAGUUAUCUCUGGUGACUUUCGGCUCUUGUAGUUGAAACCAUCUUUGAACAGUUGCUCAUUUGUACGCUAGUGAUACUAACGAUGAUCCAGAGUAAGUAGGUCGGUCAUCCAUCUGACCCGUCUUGAAACACGGACCAAGGAGCCCAACAAUUGCGCGAGUCGCACGGUCUUGAAUAGGCCUGUGAGGCGAAAUUAACAUGACGGUGUGAUCUUUACUUUAUUGUAAAGCGCAACACCAACCUGCUUUAUAUACUUUUUGUAUUAAAGUGGCGUUCGAGCGUAAUUGUUGGUACCCGAAAGAUGGUGAACUAUACUUGGGCAGGACGAAGCCAGAGGAAACUCUGGUGGAGGUCCGUAGCGGUUCUGACGUGCAAAUCGAUCGUCAGACCUGAGUAUAGGGGCGAAAGACUAAUCGAACCAUCUAGUAGCUGGUUCCCUCCGAAGUUUCCCUCAGGAUAGCUGGUACCUAAUAUGUCUGUAGCAUCCGGUAAAGCGAAUGAUUAGAGGUCUUGGGAUCGAAACGAUCUCAACCUAUUCUCAAACUUUAAAUGGGUGCGAAGCAUCACUUUCUUAAUUGAAGUGUUGCCGCUGUAAGACAAGUACCAAGUGGGCCAUUUUUGGUAAGCAGAACUGGCGCUGCGGGAUGAACCGAACGAGGAGUUAAGGUACCCAAUGCCGACGCUCAUGAGACCCCAUGAAAGGUGUUGGUUGCUAUAGACAGC
This 1037-nucleotide ribosomal RNA is filed under the name Hygrobates cf. norvegicus A LB-2019. RNAcentral's name for it is "partial large subunit ribosomal RNA". It matches the Rfam family "Eukaryotic large subunit ribosomal RNA", at positions 405 to 1241 of the family's 3401-position model. Lineage: Eukaryota; Metazoa; Arthropoda; Arachnida; Trombidiformes; Hygrobatidae. The record is from RNAcentral.